This is a non-coding RNA of Schizosaccharomyces pombe (fission yeast), 1866 nucleotides long. Lineage: Eukaryota; Fungi; Ascomycota; Schizosaccharomycetes; Schizosaccharomycetales; Schizosaccharomycetaceae. The record is from the annotation of a GenBank genome assembly.
UAGAAUAGUAGUGCUGGUAAGGGAUUUAAAUAAAUUGUUAAAUAAGAGAAAAUUUUGUUUAACUAAUUAUUGUUCAGAGUUAUGAAUCCAAAACAAAAACAAAUAUUCUGUUGAUUUACGCAUGUCGACUUGCUUACGAUAACAGUGCAAUGAAGUAAACACUUUGAGAAGAAUUCCUUGUAGUAAUAAAUUAAAACACAAUAAAAUACAUUUAAUAUCUUACUCAGGGUUAUCCUGACCUCGUUGCAUAAUGACAUUUCCAAUACACAAAUUGUUAGCCUAAAAAGUUCUGUUCAUUUUGAUUGCAACAAAAGCAUUAUAAUUCAUCGUAGUCUUCGUUAGUUAGGUUAAUGAACCUAGCUAUGCAAGAAGAGUUGGACGAUACUAAUAAAUUGUCAGCAAAUGUGCAGUAUAUUAAUUAUACUUACAAUCAAUCUCUUCCGGUUUACAGAAGCAACGUCCCUUUCUAGGGCAAUGAAGAAGAGGAGCAUGAGAAUAUCCUAUUUCGUCAAAGUAAUGCAGUUUGUUUCUAUCGAGAAAUAAACUUAAUGCUAUAGAAUGUACUGGAGCAUCACCCCAUCUCUAAAAAUUGUUUUAGCAAUGUUGCAAAUUCUUCCGUUGACGUUUGGUCAUACCUCAUAAAAAAAGCCACCCUUUUUAUCUAAAAAAUCAAAAUAUUUUCUGUAAGAAUCACUUCUGAAAAAAUCGAGAUCCGCUAUUUCAAAGUUUGACCACUUGCAAUAGUUAGUAAAUAGAAAUAUUGUUACUCGCUUCACUUACAAAAUGGCAGUGGCUAAAUUUUUUUCCAUUAUCAUCUGAAAUCCAUUCCCAUAAAUUGUUUUUCGCCAGUGUUUCAGGAUAUUUCUCAAUAAAUUCCAAGGUACUAUUCCAUAAUGAUGGUACUGUUUGUCCGAUCUCAAAUAACGUUAUGACAAAUCCAUAGGUUUUAUUCAGUAAUCUCAGUUGUCGGAAAGGAUCUUUGUUCACUUCACAUAAAAGCUUAGUUGAAGGUUCAACUCUCCAAUAAUAUUUAUAAGGAUCAAGUAAAGGAUGUCUCCAAAAAAAUCCAGAGAAAUAUCGACACAUUUGACGAUAUGAUUUCAUGCCUCCAUAAAGUACGCCUUCCCUUGAUAGGCGAUUCCAAUUGGAAUGUGCAAUAUCCAUAUCUAUCCAUUUUGGAAUAUCCCAUUCACUACUGUUCACGACACCAAAAUAUGUUGGACCACUAGUUAGACGAGACAUGACCACUUCAAAAGUUCGAGUAAAUGGUUCAUCAUUUAGAAAAACCCAAGGAUAGUUGUGCUUCGAAUUAAACCGAUUUUCAUAUAUAUUUAUUGUUUCAAUUAAAUCGUAAAGGUCCGCAUUCCGUGCUAAAGUUACGAACGUAGCAUUCUCCAAUUCCUUCGAUUUCAAAUUUCCAUCUAAUAAACGAUCAUUGUAAUAGUUUAAACGCUCCUCUAGUUUAUACACAUUUAAAGUAUUCACCAAUGCUUUUGGUAUUGAAGGAAAGAGGAUGUAUGUAAUGAAAAGUAUCACGAAUCCCAAAAGUACUCUAAUCAGCAAUCUUGAUAUCCGCAUUUUUUUUUGAUAAAUACCGACUAACCCAAAUAAUCUACAAAAAUUUUAGUUUUUCAAUGCUAGUAUUUAGCUUCCAUUAUAACUGCAAGACAAAAUGAAUAUCAAUUAUUUUACCUUCGGUUAUUCACUUUGCUCUAGUGAAGUCAGUAAUCACAUUAUAGGUGUCAGGAGAGGCCUAUACCGUAGGUCAGAAAAACUAAUACACUCAUAUUUUUGGCAUAAAGCUGCACGACUUUUUAAAAAGUUUUUUAAAAAACAUGUUAAUAAUUAUUUCGGAGGAAAAGCCUU